This 242-nucleotide ribosomal RNA is filed under the name uncultured bacterium. RNAcentral describes it as "partial 16S ribosomal RNA". It matches the Rfam family "Bacterial small subunit ribosomal RNA", at positions 15 to 252 of the family's 1533-position model. The record is from RNAcentral.
GAUCAUGCCUCAGGACGAACGCUGGCGGCGCGCCUAACACAUGCAAGUCGAACGAGCGAGAGAGAGCUUGCUUUCUCAAGCGAGUGGCGAACGGGUGAGUAACGCGUGAGGAACCUGCCUCAAAGAGGGGGACAACAGUUGGAAACGACUGCUAAUACCGCAUAAGCCCACGACCCGGCAUCGGGAAGAGGGAAAAGGAGCAAUCCGCUUUGAGAUGGCCUCGCGUCCGAUUAGCUAGUUGG